This 1057-nucleotide ribosomal RNA is filed under the name Scopocira sp. WPM-2015. RNAcentral describes it as "eukaryotic LSU rRNA". It matches the Rfam family "Eukaryotic large subunit ribosomal RNA", at positions 87 to 880 of the family's 3401-position model. Lineage: Eukaryota; Metazoa; Arthropoda; Arachnida; Araneae; Salticidae. The record is from RNAcentral.
CGGCGAGCGAAAAGGGAGGAGCCCAGCGCCGAAUCCCCGACCUCCGGUCGCGGGAAAUGUGGCGUUUAGGAGUGAGCGUGCCGGGUUCGAGACUGGCGGCAAGUCCCCCUGACCGGGGCCUGUCCAUAGCGGGUGCGAGGCCCAUAGCCGCCCGUCCCGUCUCGGAUGCGAUCUCCUUGGAGUCGGGUUGCUUGGGAGUGCAGCCCUAAUCGGGUGGUAAACUCCACCUAAGGCUAAAUACCGCCGUGAGACCGAUAGCAAACAAGUACCGUGAGGGAAAGUUGCAAAGAACUUUGAAGAGAGAGUUCAAGAGUACGUGAAACUGCUCAGAGGUAAACGGGUGGGCCCUCGAAAUCCUGUGGCGAGAGGAUUCAGUCUGGCGCGGUACACUCGGCUCGGGAAGUCGGUAGGGCUUCCCGAGACUGGGUGCCGUCCCGAGUCGAGUCCUGUGCCGCACCAGACGCAUUUGUCUCUCGUCCGAAGGACGCUGCAGCCGGUCGGGCAGUGCAAGCGCGUCGGCCUUAAGGCGGGGAGCCGGCAGGUGGCCGGUGGCGUGCCUCGUGCGCGUCGCCGGUUGUUAGCCAUCUCCGCAGUGGCUCGACGCCCGACCGUGGUGUCGCAAGGCCAUCCUUGGCCUCUCCGUCUCCAUCCCAGCGGGACAGACGGUCGCAGGCGAAUUCCGCCGUCCCGUCGCACUCCCUCGGAGUGGUCGGGCGAACGGAAGGCGCCGUUGGCGGCCGCGGAUCCGCGGGAGACUGGAUGCUAGCAGCGAGUAGGUCGGUCACCCACCCGACCCGUCUUGAAACACGGACCAAGGAGUCUAACAUGUGCGCGAGUCAAUGGGUCUUGAACAGGCCCAGGGGCGCAAUGAAAGCGAAGGUCGGCCUCGAGUCGACUCAGUCGGGAUCCCCUUCUCUCGAGGGGGGGGCGCACCGACGACCCGUCCUAUUCGGUUCGCCGUUUGGGCGGAGUCUGAGCGUACACGUUGGGACCCGAAAGAUGGUGAACUAUGCCCGGACAGGACGAGGCCAGAGGAAACUCUGGUGGAGGUCCGCAG